UGUGGGAGCGAGCUUGCUCGCGAUGACGAUCUGUCUGGCACAUCAAUGCUGAAUUUGCUGACCCCAUCGCGAGCAAGCUCGCUCCCACA
Molecule: unclassified non-coding RNA, 89 nt
Filed under: Pseudomonas jessenii
Lineage: Bacteria; Pseudomonadati; Pseudomonadota; Gammaproteobacteria; Pseudomonadales; Pseudomonadaceae
Source: RNAcentral